CAUGCUAGUCGAACGCACUUUCGUUAAUUGAUUUUGAGAUGCUUGCAUCGAAGAUGAUUUUAACUAUAAAGUGAGUGGCGAACGGGUGAGUAACACGUGGGUAACCUGCCCAGAAGUGGGGGAUAACACCUGGAAACAGAUGCUAAUACCGCAUAACAAAAUUAACCGCAUGGUUGAUUUUUAAAAGAUGGCUUCGGCUAUCACUUCUGGAUGGACCCGCGGCGUAUUAGCUAGUUGGUGAGAUAAAGGCUCACCAAGGCAGUGAUACGUAGCCGACCUGAGAGGGUAAUCGGCCACAUUGGGACUGAGACACGGCCCAGACUCCUACGGGAGGCAGCAGUAGGGAAUCUUCCACAAUGGACGCAAGUCUGAUGGAGCAACGCCGCGUGAGUGAUGAAGGCUUUCGGGUCGUAAAACUCUGUUGUUGGAGAAGAACGUGUGUGAGAGUAACUGCUCAUGCAGUGACGGUAUCCAACCAGAAAGCCACGGCUAACUACGUGCCAGCAGCCGCGGUAAUACGUAGGUGGCAAGCGUUAUCCGGAUUUAUUGGGCGUAAAGCGAGCGCAGGCGGUCUUUUAAGUCUAAUGUGAAAGCCUUCGGCUUAACCGAAGAAGUGCAUUGGAAACUGGGAGACUUGAGUGCAGAAGAGGAGAGUGGAACUCCAUGUGUAGCGGUGAAAUGCGUAGAUAUAUGGAAGAACACCAGUGGCGAAGGCGGCUCUCUGGUCUGCAACUGACGCUGAGGCUCGAAAGCAUGGGUAGCGAACAGGAUUAGAUACCCUGGUAGUCCAUGCCGUAAACGAUGAAUGCUAAGUGUUGGAGGGUUUCCG
This 829-nucleotide ribosomal RNA is filed under the name Pediococcus ethanolidurans. Its description in RNAcentral is "bacterial SSU rRNA". It matches the Rfam family "Bacterial small subunit ribosomal RNA", at positions 54 to 836 of the family's 1533-position model. The record is from RNAcentral. Lineage: Bacteria; Bacillati; Bacillota; Bacilli; Lactobacillales; Lactobacillaceae.